AACCUGGUUGAUCCUGCCAGUAGUCAUACGCUCGUCUCAAAGAUUAAGCCAUGCAUGUCUAAGUAAAAAUAACUCUUUACUGUGAAACUGCGAACGGCUCAUUAUAUCAGUUAUAGUUUACUUGAUAGUACCUUACUACUUGGAUACCCGUAGUAAUUCUAGAGCUAAUACAUGCAUCAACGCCCAAUCGGGCCGCGUUUAUUAGAUAGAAACCCAUAUUUUUGGUGAAUCAUAAUAACUGUGCGAAUCGCAUGGGUUUACCCCGGCGAUGAAUCAAUCAAGUUUCUGCCCUAUCAGCUUUCGAUGGUAGGGUAUUGGCCUACCAUGGCGUUAACGGGUAACGGAGAAUUAGGGUUCGAUUCCGGAGAGGGAGCCUGAGAAACGGCUACCACAUCCAAGGAAGGCAGCAGGCGCGUAAAUUACCCAAUCCUGACACAGGGAGGUAGUGACAAUAAAUAACAAUGCCGGGCUUUUUUAAGUCUGGCAAUUGGAAUGAGAACAAUUUAAAUCCCUUAACGAGGAUCAAUUGGAGGGCAAGUCUGGUGCCAGCAGCCGCGGUAAUUCCAGCUCCAAUAGCGUAUAUUAAUGUUGUUGCAGUUAAAAAGCUCGUAGUUGGAUUUCUGGUGGGAGCGGCCGGUCCGCCGCAAGGUGUGUACUUGGGUUGUCUCCUGUCAUCCUUGUGGGAACUGCUCUGGCAUUAAGUUGUCGGGGUUAGGGAACACAUCGUUUACUGUGAAAAAUUAGAGUGUUUAAAGCAGCUUAUGCCGUCGAUACAUUAGCAUGGAAUAUAAGAUAGGACUUUGGCGUCUAUUUUGUUGGUUUGCGCACCAAGGUAAUGAUUAAUAGGGAUAGUUGGGGGUAUUCGUAUUUAAUUGUCAGAGGUGAAAUUCUUGGAUUUAUGAAAGACGUACUUCUGCGAAAGCAUUUACCAAAGAUGUUUUCAUUAAUCAAGAACGAAAGUUAGGGGAUCGAAGAUGAUUAGAUACCAUCGUAGCCUUAACCAUAAACUAUGCCGACUAGGGAUUGGCGGUCGUUCAUUUAUGACUCCGUCAGCACCUUAUGAGAAAUCAAAGUCUUUGGGUUCCGGGGGGAGUAUGGUCGCAAGGCUGAAACUUAAAGGAAUUGACGGAAGGGCACCACCAGGAGUGGAGCCUGCGGCUUAAUUUGACUCAACACGGG
Molecule: ribosomal RNA, 1179 nt
Filed under: uncultured eukaryote
Lineage: Eukaryota
Description: SSU rRNA
Rfam family: Eukaryotic small subunit ribosomal RNA
Source: RNAcentral